UAUUACUGACUACUUGCUUAUUGCUGGCACUAUCUGGCCUGUACUAGGCCAAAUGUAUUCCUCAAAACAAAAAUGUCAUGAUGUUCCACUGUUGGCUGGUAAAAAGCUGAAAACAGCUGGUUCCAUCAACACAUGGUCAAUGUUCACAUUUCAACCAAACUUAUCUGGGUGAUAAAAUAUUCAGACUCGUAACCUGUCCCUGUCCAUAUAGAUGAUAUCCCCUUUCGUUUGAGCCAGACAGAUCACCAGACUAGCUUCACUAACUCCCACUGGUUUGACCUAACGAGUCCAAUUUUAAUCGUCUUAUUUCUGCAAGCUUAUGGAGUUAAAUAUGUUAAGCUUCAUGCAUUAGACAACGCAACCAAAAGUCCAAACUAUGGGAGAGGGUCGGAGAUUAUGCUCCCCCUCACGGCUAUGCUCCUUUGAAGUUUAUGAGCGGAGCAGACCACAAUUAUUUAUUGCGUUUACUUAGCGUUUAGUGGGUUUUGAACCCUGAACCUCUUGGUUGUAAGUUUAUGCACCUAACCAAUUCAUCCAUCAGUCCGAACAGAUAAAAAGGGCUAGACAAUUCACAUAUACACUUCAACACCCCUCUCACGUGUGACACGGAAAGUCAACACGUGGAUAGACUCACAGGAAUGGCUCAAGAGGCGUAUACGUGGACAUAAAGGGGGGCAAUAGCAAUUUUUUUGAUAAAUUGUCAAAGCCAGGAGUUGAACUCAAGACCUUAGCUCUGAUACCAUGUUAAACUUCAUGCACUAGCCAACACAACCAAAAUUGCGAACUAUGGGAGAAGGCCGGACAUUAUACUCCAACAAUAUAUAUAUACCUAUGGAACUCAUGAAGAAAAAUAUGGAAUAACCUCCAUGCAUUUAC
This 876-nucleotide long non-coding RNA is filed under the name Hordeum vulgare. RNAcentral's name for it is "long non-coding RNA (HVUL_LNC019742)". The record is from RNAcentral. Lineage: Eukaryota; Viridiplantae; Streptophyta; Magnoliopsida; Poales; Poaceae.